AGAAUCAACGCUGGCGGCGUGCCUAACACAUGCAAGUCGAACGCGAAAGGGGAGCAAUCCCUGAUUAGAGUGGCAAACGGGUGAGUAACACGUGGGUGACCUGCCUUCGAGUGGGGGAUAACCGUUCCGAAAGGAGGGCUAAUACCGCAUGACAUACCGUGUUUGGAUACAUGGAUAUCAAAGCCGGGAUCGCAAGACCUGGCGCUUGGAGAGGGGCCCGCGUCCGAUUAGCUAGUUGGUGAGGUAACGGCUCACCAAGGCUCCGAUCGGUA
This 272-nucleotide ribosomal RNA is filed under the name uncultured soil bacterium. RNAcentral describes it as "partial 16S ribosomal RNA". It matches the Rfam family "Bacterial small subunit ribosomal RNA", at positions 26 to 285 of the family's 1533-position model. The record is from RNAcentral.